UCAAAGACUUUGACGGGGAAUAGUAGGCGUUCCGGUCCUUCCAGAGAGCCGGCGGUCGGUGUGAGCCGGCAGGACGGGACGCUGAACUCGCCCCCGAGUCCGCACCGCAGGCAUGUCCGGCCGGUGCCGUCACUCCGCGUUAAGGAUGAGCUGGACGGCAUGCCGUCAAUGUGGGUGGCACCGCGGGAGCACAACAACUCUCGUCCCUGUU
Molecule: non-coding RNA, 211 nt
Filed under: Edaphobacillus lindanitolerans
Lineage: Bacteria; Bacillati; Bacillota; Bacilli; Caryophanales; Bacillaceae
Description: T-box sequence
Rfam family: T-box leader
About the family: Uncharged tRNA acts as the effector for transcription antitermination of genes in the T-box leader family.
Source: RNAcentral